This 262-nucleotide ribosomal RNA is filed under the name uncultured bacterium. RNAcentral's name for it is "partial 16S ribosomal RNA". It matches the Rfam family "Bacterial small subunit ribosomal RNA", at positions 99 to 354 of the family's 1533-position model. The record is from RNAcentral.
CGAACGGGUGAGUAACAACGUGGGCAACCUGCCCAAAANAGGGGGAUAACACUUGGAAACAGGUGCUAAUACCGCAUAACCAUAGUUACCGCAUGGUAACUAUGUAAAAGGUGGCUAUGCUACCGCUUUUGGAUGGGCCCGCGGCGCAUUAGCUAGUUGGUGGGGUAAAGGCUUACCAAGGCAAUGAUGCGUAGCCGAACUGAGAGGUUGAUCGGCCACAUUGGGACUGAGACACGGCCCAAACUCCUACGGGAGGCAGCAG